CGGAGAGGGAGCAUGAGAAAUGGCUACCACAUCUACGGAAGGCAGCAGGCGCGCAAAUUACCCACUCCUAGAACGGGGAGGUAGUGACGAAAAUAACAAUACCGGACUCAAUGAGGCUCGGUAAUUGAAAUGAGUACAGUUUAAAACCCUUAACGAGGAUCUAUUGGAGGGCAAGUCUGGUGCCAGCAGCCGCGGUAAUUCCAGCUCCAAUAGCGUAUAUUAAAGUUGUUGCAGUUAAAAAGCUCGUAGUUGGAUCUCGGGUACUAGCAUGUGGUACGCUUAACUGCGUUACUACAUGUCUGGUCCUAAUCAACCGGUUGGCCGUUGAUGCCCUUUAUUGGGUGUUUUCGGUAGCCGGUACGUUUACUUUGAGAAAAUUAGAGUGCUUAAAGCAGGCCUUACGCCUGAAUAAUGUUGCAUGGAAUAAUAGAAUAGGACCUCGGUUCUAUUUUGUUGGUUUUGUAGAGCAUUGAGGUAAUGAUUAAUAGGGACAGAC
Molecule: ribosomal RNA, 496 nt
Filed under: uncultured eukaryote
Lineage: Eukaryota
Description: SSU rRNA
Rfam family: Eukaryotic small subunit ribosomal RNA
Source: RNAcentral